AGUGAACGCUGGCGGUAGGCCUAACACAUGCAAGUCGAACGGCAGCACAGUAAGAGCUUGCUCUUACGGGUGGCGAGUGGCGGACGGGUGAGGAAUACAUCGGAAUCUACUUUUUCGUGGGGGUUAACGUAGGGAAACUUACGCUAAUACCGCAUACGACCUACGGGUGAAAGCAGGGGAUCUUCGGACCUUGCGCGAUUGAAUGAGCCGAUGUCGGAUUAGCUAGUUGGCGGGGUAAAGGCCCACCAAGGCGACGAUCCGUAGCUGGUCUGAGAGGAUGAUCAGCCACACUGGAACUGAGACACGCUCCAGACUCCUACGGGAGGCAGCAGUGGGGAAUAUUGGACAAUGGGCGCAAGCCUGAUCCAGCCAUACCGCGUGGGUGAAGAAGGCCUUCGGGUUGUAAAGCCCUUUUGUUGGGAAAGAAAAGCAGCAGGUUAAUACCCCGCUGUUCUGACGGUACCCAAAGAAUAAGCACCGGCUAACUUCGUG
Molecule: ribosomal RNA, 492 nt
Filed under: uncultured bacterium
Lineage: Bacteria
Description: partial 16S ribosomal RNA
Rfam family: Bacterial small subunit ribosomal RNA
Source: RNAcentral